Non-coding RNA from Myotis lucifugus (little brown bat), 321 nucleotides. The record is from Rfam. Lineage: Eukaryota; Metazoa; Chordata; Mammalia; Chiroptera; Vespertilionidae.
AAUUCCAGCGAGAGGCAGAGGGAGCGAGCGGGCGGACCAGCCAGAGUGAACCUAGCGAGCCGGGCGAGCAGAGGCGCGCUCCGGGCGCUCAGGGCUGAGAUCCGGAGUGAAAGCGGGGCUUCACCUCCGGCCCAGCCUCCUCCUUCUCCCCACCCUGCCCGCCGACCUCUGCCAGAGAUCCGCCACCCUCGCCGCAUCCACAAAAACUUUGCCCAUUGCAGCGGGCGGGCACUUUCCCCUGGAACUUACAACACCCGAGCGAGAGAGAACGCGGCUCUCCAGGAGCGGAGAUCUAUUUGGGAAGACACUUCUCCGGGCCGC